Long non-coding RNA from Oncorhynchus kisutch (coho salmon), 1605 nucleotides. RefSeq lists it as uncharacterized. NCBI's taxonomy places the organism in Eukaryota, Metazoa, Chordata, Actinopteri, Salmoniformes, Salmonidae. The record is from RefSeq and is a predicted model, not a curated record. The transcript has 4 exons.
AUAAAGUCAAAAGGAAGCAAUGGAGUGAGGUGGACAUCUUCCAUGCCGUGAAGGACUUUGGGGAUGGGAUGACUAUCCACCAGGCUGCCAAGGUGUAUAGUGUACCUCGGAAAACCCUGACGGACACUCUGAGCAGCCAGAUAACCCAUGGUUGUCGCAGUGGACCACCCACAUUGCUUGCACCAGGAUGAAAAUUCUCUGGUGCAGUACUAUAUCUACUGCGCUAGCCAUGGGGUUUCCUUUCACCAGACAACGGCUAAUGACACAUCCAACAAAAUGAGCAGGUUUUGGCACCGAGGAGAAAAAAUCUCACUACUGGGGAAGAGGUGGUAGGAAAUGUUCAGGAGGAAGCACAAGAACCUGAGCAUGAGGAUGCCAGACACCCUGGACAGGGGGAUAGCUGAGUGGGCCACCCGUCCGAUGAUGGACAUCACCUUCUUGGAGGAGAGUGGGUUGACGGAGAAACCCAGACAAAUCUUUAACUGCGAUGAGUCUGAGUUUUAUAGCGACCAGAGCAGGCAAUGUCCUGGCUCUCCGGGGUGCAAAACACAUGUACCAGCAGGCUCCGGGAACCAAGGAGCACAUUAAUGCUGGCCUGCAUCCACUCAGCUGAGGAGGAUGUCUCCUUCUCCCCUUCGAUGGGCACAAGAGCCGCAUGGACCCGGAGGUGCUCCCUGUGGCUCAAAGGGAAGGGGUUAUACUACUUUAUCUUCCACCACACUGCACCCAUGUCCAGUGGCAUAUUGUGGCAUAUUGUGGCGCUGUAAGGCUGAGUUCUCCAAGGUAGUUGAAGACCUCAGCCAUUUUCACCACUCCUAUAUGGUAAACAAAUCAGAAUUUGCUAGAGUAUUCUUCUACCUGUACCAGCCCUACUAAGACAUGCUGUAUGUGGUGGAAGGGUCCUUACCUUGCUGAAGUGUCAGCCAGACCGAUACAGAAGACUCCCUGUGGUCGCCACAUACCCCACCAGGGAGGAAUACAUGCCCCAGUGGCAGGAGAGGGGUGAGAGGGCAGAGGAGAAUACUGUUGGGCAGCCCUCAGAACAGAGGGCACGAGAGGGCUACCAUGGAUGAGACCAUCGACGCCAUCGCCUAUGCUGGACCCCCCCCCCCACUGGAACCAUACCUGACAGCUGCAUCACCACUGCCCAUGCCUCCCAGUGUGCAACACCUGUAGGAGCAGGCCAUGUUUAUGCUCUCUCCCAGCCACACGAUUGUCGGUUGCUCAAUCCCACCAACACCAGCUUCUCCAAGCCAUCGGCGUCGGGUUUUGUCCACCACCACAAUGCAAACCAGCCCCCCCUGUCUGUCAACCCCGAAACGGCCUCCUCUGGACCAACUGCCUCCUCCAUCUCCCCUGGUCACUGAACCACACCAGCCUCAUCUGGUAUUCCUGACCACGGCAAUUCGAAUACAGACACCUCUACAGCACAGAAAAGGAAGAGAAAAGCUCUACCGGCCACCUGUCACGCCACCCAUUGCACCACCCUCAGUUACUUCACAAUCUGUUUGUUUCUCUCUCUCUGUUGUAUCAAUUACUAUUGUUGCUGUAUUGCAAACCAUGUUAAUCAAUGGAGCUUGAUUUUUUUAUUGUGAUUUCUGUGAU